Molecule: ribosomal RNA, 253 nt
Filed under: uncultured bacterium
Lineage: Bacteria
Description: partial 16S ribosomal RNA
Rfam family: Bacterial small subunit ribosomal RNA
Source: RNAcentral
UACGUAGGUGGCAAGCGUUGUCCGGAAUUAUUGGGCGUAAAGCGCGCGCAGGCGGUCUCUUAAGUCUGAUGUGAAAGCCCACGGCUCAACCGUGGAGGGUCAUUGGAAACUGGGAGACUUGAGUGCAGAAGAGAAGAGUGGAAUUCCACGUGUAGCGGUGAAAUGCGUAGAGAUGUGGAGGAACACCAGUGGCGAAGGCGACUCUUUGGUCUGUAACUGACGCUGAGGCGCGAAGGCGUGGGGAGCAAACAGG